This is a non-coding RNA of Oryzias latipes (Japanese medaka), 72 nucleotides long. Lineage: Eukaryota; Metazoa; Chordata; Actinopteri; Beloniformes; Adrianichthyidae. The record is from Rfam.
AGAGACUUAGGAUAGCAUUAAGACCAAGGGCCUUCAAAGCCCUAAGCAAGAGUGAAAAUCUCUUAGCCUCUG